Molecule: long non-coding RNA, 175 nt
Organism: Cydia splendana
Lineage: Eukaryota; Metazoa; Arthropoda; Insecta; Lepidoptera; Tortricidae
Exons: 3
Source: RefSeq, a predicted model, not a curated record
GGGGGUUAGGGUCGGCAACGCGCAUGUAACACCUCUGGAGUUGCAGGCGUCCAUAGGCGACGGUGACUGCUUACCAUCAGGCGGACCGUAUGCUUGUUUGCCACCGAUGUGGUAUAAAAAAAAAGUUGGACAUUUAAAAAUUUGUAUGAAAUCUGUCUUACGCUCCUAAUUUUUA